GACGAACGCUGGCGGCGUGCUUAACACAUGCAAGUCGAACGGAAAGGCCCCGCUGUUGUGGGGUGCUCGAGUGGCGAACGGAUGAGUAACACGUGAGUAACCUGCCCUUGACUUUGGGAUAAUUUCAGGAAACUGGGUCUACUAACGGAUAGGAGCUCCUGCUGCAUGGAGGGGGUUGGAAAGUUGCGGCGGUUGGGGAUGGACUCGGGGCUUAUGAUCGUGUUUGUGUGGUAGUGGCUUACCAAGGCUUUGGAGGGUAGCCGGCCUGAGAGGGUGACCGGGCCCAUGGGGACUGAGGGAGGGCCCAGACUCGAACGGGGGGCAGCGGUGGGGAAUAUUGCACAGUGGGCGGGAGUGUGAUACAGCGGCGCCGCGUGCGGGAUGACGGUCUUCGGGUUAUAAACCGCUUUCGCCUGUGACGAAGCGUGAGUGACGGUAAUGGGUAAAGAAGCACCGGCUAACUACGUG
RNAcentral lists this ribosomal RNA (468 nucleotides) under uncultured bacterium. Its description in RNAcentral is "partial 16S ribosomal RNA". It matches the Rfam family "Bacterial small subunit ribosomal RNA", at positions 28 to 507 of the family's 1533-position model. The record is from RNAcentral.